UGCAGUCGAGGGGUAACAGGAAAGCUUGCUUUCGCUGACGACCGGCGCACGGGUGCGUAACGCGUAUGCAACCUACCUCAUACUGGAGGAUAGCCCCUGGAAACGGGGAUUAAUACUCCAUAGUAUCACGAAUUCGCAUGUUUUUGUGAUUAAAGUUUUUCGGUAUGAGAUGGGCAUGCGUCCCAUUAGCUUGUUGGUGAGGUAACGGCUCACCAAGGCAACGAUGGGUAGGGGGCCUGAGAGGGUGGUCCCCCACACUGGUACUGAGACACGGACCAGACUCCUACGGGAGGCAGCAGUGAGGAAUAUUGGUCAAUGGAGGCAACUCUGAACCAGCCAUGCCGCGUGAAGGAUGACGGCCCUAUGGGUUGUAAACUUCUUUUAUAGAGGAAGAAACUUGUCUACGUGUAGACAACUGACGGUACUCUACGAAUAAGGAUCGGCUAACUCCGCGCCAGCAGCCGCGGUAAUACGGAGGAUCCAAGCGUUAUCCGGAUUCAUUGGGUUUAAAGGGUCCGUAGGCGGGUCUUUAAGUCAGUGGUGAAAGCCGACAGCUCAACUGUCGAACUGCCAUUGAUACUGGAGACCUUGAGUACAAAUGAAGUA
This 606-nucleotide ribosomal RNA is filed under the name uncultured bacterium. Its description in RNAcentral is "bacterial SSU rRNA". It matches the Rfam family "Bacterial small subunit ribosomal RNA", at positions 56 to 659 of the family's 1533-position model. The record is from RNAcentral.